ACUCCUACGGGAGGCAGCAGUGGGGAAUAUUGCACAAUGGGCGCAAGCCUGAUGCAGCCAUGCCGCGUGUGUGAAGAAGGCCUUCGGGUUGUAAAGCACUUUCAGUCGUGAGGAAGGUAGUGUAGUUAAUAGCUGCAUUAUUUGACGUUAGCGACAGAAGAAGCACCGGCUAACUCCGUGCCAGCAGCCGCGGUAAUACGGAGGAUCCAAGCGUUAUCCGGAAUCAUUGGGUUUAAAGGGUCCGUAGGUGGACGAUUAAGUCAGAGGUGAAAUCUUGCAGCUCAACUGUAAAAUUGCCUUUGAUACUGGUUGUCUUGAGUUAUUAUGAAGUGGUUAGAAUAUGUAGUGUAGCGGUGAAAUGCAUAGAUAUUACAUAGAAUACCAAUUGCGAAGGCAGAUCACUAAUAAUAUACUGACACUGAUGGACGAAAGCGUGGGUAGCGAAACAGGAUUAGAUACCCUGGUAGGCUCUGCU
This 475-nucleotide ribosomal RNA is filed under the name uncultured bacterium. RNAcentral's name for it is "bacterial SSU rRNA". It matches the Rfam family "Bacterial small subunit ribosomal RNA", at positions 335 to 801 of the family's 1533-position model. The record is from RNAcentral.